UACGUAGGGACCAAGCGUUGUUCGGAUUUACUGGGCGUAAAGGGCGCGUAGGCGGCGCUGUAAGUCACUUGUGAAAUCUCCGGGCUUAACUCGGAACGGUCAAGUGAUACUGCAGUGCUAGAGUGCAGAAAGGGCAAUCGGAAUUCUUGGUGUAGCGGUGAAAUGCGUAGAUAUCGGAAGGAACACCAGUGGCGAAAGCGACUUCCUGGUCCAAUACUGACGUUCAUGUGCGAAAGCGUGGGGAGCAAACAGG
This 253-nucleotide ribosomal RNA is filed under the name uncultured prokaryote. Its description in RNAcentral is "partial 16S ribosomal RNA". It matches the Rfam family "Bacterial small subunit ribosomal RNA", at positions 524 to 776 of the family's 1533-position model. The record is from RNAcentral.